GCAAGUUGAAACGUAAACUCAAACGUCGACUCUGUUACGGAAUCUCUAAAAGGCGACUUUCUAAUUAAAAUGCGGAAAUCUAAAACCCACCUCCGAUUGCUGGAUUUAACUUCCGUUGGACUCAAUACGGCUCCAGAAGAACAAUUCUAGUCCGCUAGGCUACUCCGCCGCCAAAGACACCGCAGCCGCAGACGCUACCACCGCGGCUAACCUUUGGUAAUAUCACUCUUCUUCUUUAUCUCAAUUCUCUCAUUUGUCCUUGAUCUGUAUCGCAUUGACUCUAACGACAUUAUAUUUCUCCAUUUUCCUUUUUUAUUUUUGAAUAUUGCAGAUAUAUUUGAAAUAGGAGUGUACAUAUAUACACACAUAUAUGGCUAAUUUACAGUCCGCUAAAAAUAUCCUCCGCCGGAGCUCUAGUGGAGGGCUGCACCACCCACUGUUAUUCGCUGCCCAGGGAGUUCGAUAUAGAAAGCUUGAAGUAAUUCUCACCACGGUCGGUAUCUAAAA
This 507-nucleotide long non-coding RNA is filed under the name Olea europaea subsp. europaea. Lineage: Eukaryota; Viridiplantae; Streptophyta; Magnoliopsida; Lamiales; Oleaceae. The record is from RNAcentral.